Molecule: long non-coding RNA, 6281 nt
Filed under: Populus tremula
Lineage: Eukaryota; Viridiplantae; Streptophyta; Magnoliopsida; Malpighiales; Salicaceae
Description: long non-coding RNA (PTRE_LNC001998)
Source: RNAcentral
UCUGAUUGACCAAACGGCAGGGAAUCUGAAACUCAACCUCACUGAACAAUCCUCAAUAUGAGAUUUAUUGAACGAGUUGGCUGAAUUCAAGAUUCGACAGCCAACAACACAUAGCUGAUUCUUAUUCACAUCCCAUGAUCCUUCCGCAACCAAUGUUGUGUUUGGAGUGAAGGGGUGGUAAUAAUCACCAUAGCUACUGUUGUGGAACUCUAUCAGGAAUCUCAAUCUUCGUUUAUCUUCUAAACAUUGAAUUAAUUUCAAGGACAUGAUUUGUGGUAAAUAUCCAACACCCUCACCAAAAGGAUUGCAACUACUUGUGGAGUUGCAACCCCUUGAAUACUCCAGUUUAAAAAAAGUAUGCCGACGAGAGAAUGCAUUGCAAAUAGGUGUACUCAGCUUUAAGCUUAGUGACAAACUCUUUGGAACAUCAAUCCCCCCGGUACAGACAUGAUCGAGUGCUUUUCCAACCUCAGUGAACUCGUAAUUAUUUUGAGGGAACAUCAACAAGGAGAUUGGCUUAAAAUAUCCUGAAUCACCAGCAGUACUCGAGCUUUCCAAUAUUCCCCUCACCAAACUACUGAUAGUGCUUGAUUUUCUAACUUCAUCAAGCUUAAGUAGAGCGGCAAGAACAACAUGUUCACCCUCCUCUGAGUAAGUAGAACCAGAGCCCACCAUGCAAAGCUUGCCGGUAGAUACUGACCAGAACCCUUCUACUUCAAAACUCAAAGGACCCCUCGGAGAUCUGUCGUCGUACAUGUAAAACUCCAUAUCCGAGGUUUUCAGGAUCAAACUCGCCUCAACCUUAAAGACACCAUCAACAUCAGUGCUAUAGACACUGUGGGUAUGAAUGAAUAGCUCUCUUCUGUUACUCGAUGGAUAAUGGUGAAGAGAUGAGUUUGGAUGAUUCAAUAUGUCAUCCCCACCUAGAAAGUACCCACCUUGGUCUGCAGCAAAAGGGAUGGUGGUGAAUUCUGGAACAUCAUUGGGAGUUGAUUCAGGGACAAUUGAGGCACAGUGUUUGUUGUAAUUAGGGAUGUCAAGUUUGGAGGAAGAGACCAUGGGGGUGUAAAAGGUGGUCGACAGGACCAGGAACAUUGCGACGUGAAGCCAUGAUAGAUAACACCAUGUGCUUGGAGAGGAAUUAGAGGUCAUCAUCAGAUAUUUCUUGGACUAUGAGGAUGGUAAGGCUGGUCUGAACAUCUGGUGGAAUGAAGCGGCGGAUAUUUACUAGACUAGAGGUAGCAGUCAUCCGGCAAAGUUUUCUUGCUUUUAAGAACCACGCAGGACUGAAAUCUACGCAAAUGGAGAACACAUCUGCUCCUGAUUAAGAUGAGUGACAACUGGGAGUACCGGGUCAUAUUUGAAGAGUAAACGCUGGUUGUGCUUGAUUUUUUAUUGAAUAAAUAAAAAUAGUAAAGUAUAAACUCAAUAAUUAUCAAAAUUCUUAUUAUAUAAAAAAAUUAUCUUAAUUUAAUAAUUUAAUUUAUUAAAUAAAAUUUAUAUUAUUCUCUAAUAUAUUAUUAAAAAUCAAACACAAUUAUAAAUAUAAAAAAAUUAUUAUUCAUGAAAUAAAUAAGCCAUGUCAAUUGUCUUGGGAUAGCACCAUAGAGUCAAUGGAUCUCUAACAACAAUUAGGAUUGGUGUUUGGUUAAAUUUAGAUGAGAUAGAUUUGAUAAUUUAUGUUUAACUCAUGAUUAAACACAAGUAUAUUAAGAUUAAUAAUUCACAAAAUUUAGUUAUUGAAUUCAAAUAUAUUGAAUUCGAUAUUUUGCUAGACUCAUGAUGAUUCUCUAGGCUCAAUAAAUAACUGAAUCUAAACAUAUUAAUUCUCAUAUUUCGCUAAAUUCAUGAUCCUCGAAGCUUAAUUCGUAGGUAAACUUAAGUAUAUUAGAUGUAGUAUUAUCAUCAUCAUGUUUAAUUGAGUUAUUAUCUUGUUACAAGGCUGAGCUCUUUUAACACAUAAAAAUAAAAAAUAAAAAUAAAAAUUGUCAUAACACAUGGUUUAUGCCAUAAUCAGUAUAGAUAUUCUUGGAUUUGUUGUUUGGGUCAUUAUAUGUUUAACGUAGACUUAGGCAUUGAUAAAUUCUUUUUUUCAUAAAUUCUUUUCUUAAAAUAGCAAAAAAAUAUGUUUAUAUACAAGUAAAAUAUCCUAAAUAGUGAAAUCCUUAUUAAAUUAAAAGUUUUUCUUAUUAAAUAAGAAUAGAAAUUCCUAAUUUUAACUUGAAAACGAAAACAACUAGCAAGCUAGCUGCUCCUGUGUAUAUAGAAUUUUAGAAAAAUCUAGAAAAAAUUAAAUCUGAUUUAAUAAUAGAACAAAAAAACUAUGCUUAUUUUUAACAAUUAAGAAAAAUAAGUAUCCAAGAAUAAUGAAAAUAGGGCCGCCGAAGUCGGUAGUCAAUGAAUCUUUGCACAUGGAGAGGUGUAACAUUUAUUAAUUAGUUCUGAAUCCAAUUGACAUAAAUUAAAUGCUACAUUUAAGGUGCAUCACGGGGCAUAUCGGAUUAUCAUGAUAAAACUGAUUAAAUUAAUUAAUCUAAAUGAAUUUCUACAUUAUUCAUCAAAAAAACAAAAAAAAAAUAAGAAAUUUAAAAUGUCAGAGAUUUCAUUUUCAGCAAAAGAGCAAAGACUUGGAACUUUCCAAGCAAAUCCAAGUCUACUCUACGCAAGUGAUAUGUCGUUGAGGUUUUGUAUAACAAGACAAAUGGAGUUGACCAUGGAGGUCUUGCGACCCAAUUUUUAUGCUAGGUUUUUUAAUAUAUAUAUAUAUUACUGAAAAAUAUUUUGUAGAUAUUCCAUAUUUGUUUUUUUAAAAUAUAUAUUUUUUAUAUUUUUUGCUGUAAAAAAUAUUAUAUAUUGAUCAAGAAAAAAUAUUUUAUAAUUAAUCUUUGAAACUUAAUUUAUUUAUUAAAAAUUAUUUUCAAAUUAUAAAGUCUCAUAAAGUAUUUUAAAAAUAAUAAUUAUUUUAUAAUAUCAUCUAAUAAUUUCAACUAUAUUGUCAUCAAUAUCUUAAUACCUUCUUUUUUUUUUUUAUCAUUACCACAAAUAUUUUUAUCUCAUCUCAUCUCAUUAUUACUAUUAUCAUCAUCUUAAUAUUUUUUUUAUAUUUGUAGCUGUAAAAUAUUUUAUAUUGAUUAAGAAAAAAUAUUUUAUUGUUAAUCUUCAAACUUAAUUUAUUUAUUAAAAAAUAUUUUCAACUCAUAAAAUAUUAUAAAAUAUUUAUAAAUAAUUAUUAUUUUACAAUAUCAUUUAACAAUUUCAAUUAAUAUCUCCAUUUCAUUAUCACCUUAUAAUCACCUUCUUCUUUUUCUAAUUUUUUUUAUUGUCAUCACCAUUUUAAUAUCACUUUUCUUUUUAUCAUUAUCACGAUUAUUUUUAUCUCAUCUUGUUAUUACUAUUAUCGCAACUAGAACCACCUUUUUUUUUAUUAUCGUUGAAUUAAUUUGGUGAUGAAUGCAGAAAUCGAUGUAUUGGCUCAUAGUAAGACGUGGUCUCUGGUUUAUUUUGAUCAGUCAAUGAAUAUUGUUUGCUGCAAGUGGGUGUUCAAUAUUAAACAGAAAGCUAAUGACUCUUAUUAAUUAGCAUUUUAAGGCUUUGUUUGGUAGCCAAAAGGUCUAAUCACAAAAAAAAAAAAAAAAACAUUUUGACUUUGAUGACACUUUCAGUGAUCUGGCAACCACUGCUUGAACCAAUUUGUUUCCUGCUUUUAUAUAUAAAAAAAAAUCCAGGACUUAACUGAACCGAGCUGAACCAAUUUGGUUUGAACAAAAUUUCAGUUUGCUCUAGUUUAUAUUUUUCCUAGUGCAAGCUUGAAAUUGCACGCAGUUGUUUAGCCUUGCAAUGUUUAUAUCUGUGCCUGUUGUAAAAUUUGAUGAUAUCCAGGUUAAAAACCUUAAAAUCUACACACACAUAUAAUGGUUACAUAAUUUAUCCACAAUGAACAGCGUUUUCAAUCAAAUAAUCAACUUGACGUUUUCCAAUUUCACAACAGAGCACAAAGACUUUCUACCAACGGAGUUAACACUUGCCAUCUAUCUUUUAAGUUCAACAGCAACGAUGAAAAUGGCCGAAAUCGUAUGAUGCUUCUCCGUAUUUCACCCCAAAUCUGAGCAAAGACUCAUGUUUAAUGGAGUUGAAGCUGUUAAAACGCACCUUCAUUUACUACAAACAGGAAGCUACAAAGCUUCAACUCAUGUUUAGUGCAUCUUGAAUUGCUAGAGCAUAUAAAUUGUCUUCCAGUCUACUUGUAAUUACGAAUGAAGAUAUGAUCAUGCAGGGAAGUCUUUGCAAGCAAGAGAUAUAUAAAGUCAGGAUUUGGAAUCGGCAGCAUUCACAACAUAAACCUUUUCGCUUCCACAGAUGUAUAUACACACAGGUAGAAACACUGUGUUGACAUGUAAAAUCACACAUGAAGAUUUAUUAGUCAUUUUAUAAAAUCACAUGCUCGCAAAAGUUUGAACCACAAAUUAUGCAUCACUAGCCACUGGUACUUCCUCGUAUCCUUCUAGCUCCUUGAAUCUUUUUGGCAGGAAACAACGACCACCGAAGCGCUGCUGCAGGUAGACGAUAGCAGCAAGAAGAAGGCCCACUAGAGGAAUAAUGAGAUCCCAUGCAGUGGAAUAAUAAUCUCCACCUGGGUUGGCAUACAUGUAUGAACCAUCAAAAUCUUCAACAUAGUAGUUAGCCCUGUAUAGAUCGUAUGCAUGCGGGAGCAAACGCACAAAUGUGGUUCCUAUGUAGAAGAAACGAGAGAGGGCAUUUUCUGUGGAGUUGUGGAAAAUGUUGAGGAGGAUUUGAGGGAAGAGAAAACCAUCGAGUACCAAACCACCAUAAGAUCUUAAACCCACCCAAAGGGAACGCUGAUAAGUGCUGCUGUAAGCGUACUCCAUGCCCUCACCCACCGUGUUGUUCCUCCAAUUCACAUACACAGCAAUUAAACCUCCAGAUAUAUAUAGUGGUAGAGACAAAUAGAGUGUCCUCUUCUCAGGAGCCAAGAACGCCUUUUGCUUCCCAUCAGCGAAUCGUGCAGACCAUACAAGCUGCAGAAGUCGGAACUGCAGCAGGAAAGCUACCAUCGUGAUUACCCUUACAAUUACCUCAUUCGCUUCCAACCAUCCACCACUCUGUAGAAGGAAUGUUGUGCGACUUUCCUUUGGCACAAACAAAGCUUCAAAAUUCAGCAUUAGAGGGAUCAUGCGCCCGAGAGUAAGGACCAGAAGCAUGAUAAGUGAGAUGAAAGGGAAAACAGCGGGAUGCUUUUUCACAUACAAGAUCUGGUAUCCCACAAAGACACAAACGAGAGUAUUAGAGAUCAAAGACAUGAUGAUCUCCCGAUCCAUCCUCCGUAUUGACUCCCUCGAAUGCUGACGGUAAAAUGAAGCUGCAGAAAAAGAAAGAGGCUCGAAGUACAGAGGAUCGGAUUUUUUCCCUGUGUAUUCAAUGGUUCCCUGGAUAUAAUCAUUUGAAUCUACUGGAGGGAACUGGACAUUUAUAAGAAUCUUACAGUCCAUUGAAUCAUUGUCUGAUGUCCGAUUGUUUGAGUCAAGAUAUCUGCAGCCCACCAUACAAAGUUCUCCUGUUUCAGCAUCAUAAAUUCCUUCAGAGAAGACUUGAACAGGAGUAGACUCGUUCAGCGGGAAGCUCAUGCUGUAGCUGAUGUUCAGUGGGAUGCUGUGGUUGGUUUUUCCUUUAACCGGAGAGGAAGCACCCCUCAAGCUUGAUGACACCACAAAGCUGUUUUGUCGAGAAAUUUGAUCACCCACAGCGAUGGGCUGAGAGAAGCCCCAUCCUAUUCUUCUUCUCUUUGAGUCCCUGACCACCAUAUUGAACUUCAUGUCAUUCGAAGUUGCAUCUGGAUGCCGCUUUCCUUUGUUCUUUCUGGGCUGCUUCUCUGAGCAUGACUUUCUUGCUUUGUCAACAACAGUGUACUGGUACUUCGACCCGGGGAUCCCAGAUACAAAAUUAUCAUAACUUCGAAACAUGAUCGUAUUGAAGUAACCCAGAUCAUUCUCACGUUUGUUACUCCAAAUAUGCCCCAUCAUACCACUAGUAUUUCUGAUUGACCAAACGGCAGGGAAUCUCAAACUCAACCUCACUGAACAAUCCUCAAUAUGAGAUUUAUUGAACGAGUUGGCUGAAUUCAAGAUUCGACAGCCAACAACACACAGCUGAUUCUUAUUCACAUCCCAUGAUCCUUCCGCAACCAAUGUUGUGUUUGGAGUGAAGGGUUGGUAAUAAUCAGCAUAGCUACUGUUGUGGAAUUCUAUCAGGAAUCUCAAACUUCG